RNAcentral lists this ribosomal RNA (253 nucleotides) under uncultured Lactobacillus sp. RNAcentral's name for it is "partial 16S ribosomal RNA". It matches the Rfam family "Bacterial small subunit ribosomal RNA", at positions 524 to 776 of the family's 1533-position model. Lineage: Bacteria; Bacillati; Bacillota; Bacilli; Lactobacillales; Lactobacillaceae. The record is from RNAcentral.
UACGUAGGUGGCAAGCGUUAUCCGGAUUUAUUGGGCGUAAAGCGAGCGCAGGCGGUUGCUUAGGUCUGAUGUGAAAGCCUUCGGCUUAACCGAAGAAGUGCAUCGGAAACCGGGCGACUUGAGUGCAGUAGAGGAAAGUGGAAUUCCUAGUGUAGCGGUGGAAUGCGUAGAUAUUAGGAGGAACAUCAGUGGCGAAGGCGACUUUCUGGACUGUAACUGACGCUGAGGCACGAAAGUGUGGGGAGCAAACAGG